This 301-nucleotide ribosomal RNA is filed under the name uncultured bacterium. Its description in RNAcentral is "partial 16S ribosomal RNA". It matches the Rfam family "Bacterial small subunit ribosomal RNA", at positions 509 to 807 of the family's 1533-position model. The record is from RNAcentral.
CAGCAGCCGCGGUAAUACGUAGGGUGCGAGCGUUAAUCGGAAUUACUGGGCGUAAAGCGUGCGCAGGCGGUUCGUUAAGUCUGUUGUGAAAGCCCCGGGCUCAACCUGGGAAUGGCAAUGGAUACUGGCGAGCUAGAGUGUGUCAGAGGAUGGUGGAAUUCCCGGUGUAGCGGUGAAAUGCGUAGAGAUCGGGAGGAACAUCAGUGGCGAAGGCGGCCAUCUGGGACAACACUGACGCUGAGGCACGAAAGCGUGGGGAGCAAACAGGAUUAGAUACCCGUGUAGUCCCUGUCUCUUAUAC